This 443-nucleotide ribosomal RNA is filed under the name uncultured bacterium. RNAcentral's name for it is "partial 16S ribosomal RNA". It matches the Rfam family "Bacterial small subunit ribosomal RNA", at positions 338 to 795 of the family's 1533-position model. The record is from RNAcentral.
CCUACGGGUGGCAGCAGUGGGGAAUAUUGGACAAUGGGGGGAACCCUGAUCCAGCGACGCCGCGUGAGUGAAGAAGUAUUUCGGUAUGUAAAGCUCUAUCAGCAGGGAAGAAAGAAAUGACGGUACCUGACUAAGCAGCCCCGGCUAACUACGUGCCAGCAGCCGCGGUAAUACGUAGGGGGCAAGCGUUAUCCGGAUUUACUGGGGGUAAAGGGAGCGUAGGCGGCGUGGCAAGUCUGAAGUGAAAGGCGGGGGCCCAACCACUGGACUGUUUUUGAAACUGUAUGGCUGGAGUGCAGGAGAGGUAAGUGGAAUUCGUAGUGUAGCGGUGAAAUGCGUAGAGAUUAGGAGGAACACCAGUGGCGAAGGCGGCUUACUGGACUGUAACUGACGUUGAGGCGCGAAAGCGUGGGGAGCAAACAGGAUUAGAUACCCCAGUAGUC